UCCAAUGGUGGGCCGAGCGGGGGCGUCGCAAGACGCGCCGGUAUCCGAAGAGGCCGGUAAGGCUAACCCUGUUCGGUUCCACCGCCAGC
Enterobacter sp. 638 is the source of this 89-nucleotide non-coding RNA. The record is from Rfam. NCBI's taxonomy places the organism in Bacteria, Pseudomonadati, Pseudomonadota, Gammaproteobacteria, Enterobacterales, Enterobacteriaceae.